This 84-nucleotide transfer RNA is filed under the name Candidatus Gemmiger excrementipullorum. RNAcentral describes it as "tRNA-Leu". It matches the Rfam family "tRNA". From Rfam's summary of the family: Transfer RNA (tRNA) molecules are approximately 80 nucleotides in length. Lineage: Bacteria; Bacillati; Bacillota; Clostridia; Eubacteriales; Oscillospiraceae. The record is from RNAcentral.
GCCACUGUGGCGGAACUGGCAGACGCCAGGGACUUAAAAUCCCUUGCUGGCAACAGCGUACCGGUUCGAUCCCGGUCAGUGGCA